The sequence is a small nucleolar RNA, 196 nucleotides long. It matches the Rfam family "ACEA small nucleolar RNA U3". Rfam says of the family: Small nucleolar RNAs (snoRNAs) are involved in the processing and modification of rRNA in the nucleolus. There are two main classes of snoRNAs: the box C/D class, and the box H/ACA class.
UCGACUGUGCUCGAACAGGAUCACUUCUAUAGUGUUUCCAACAGUUCUCCACCACAGCGACAGACCAACUCAUCACCCAUGACGAUGAGCUAUGCUUCCCGCCCGAUGGGACUCUAUGGUCUGCCUCGCGAGAGGCACAACCGUGAUGACCCACACGGCUUCGGUCGUGACGGGCUGUGGAAGGAUCUGAAUGGGA